This 42989-nucleotide long non-coding RNA is filed under the name Prunus persica (peach). RNAcentral describes it as "long non-coding RNA (PPER_LNC002428)". The record is from RNAcentral. Lineage: Eukaryota; Viridiplantae; Streptophyta; Magnoliopsida; Rosales; Rosaceae.
CUACGUGACGUGAGCAUUCAAUAAUCAUCCUACACAUAUGCUGAUGUGAGCAUUCAAAAUCAUUAGAAUGAUUUAAUUGAAGACUCAACGUACGGACGUCUUUUUCACUUAGAUUCCCUUCCCGUACAAACUUGCAUCAGUUCCUCCACGACCCCAUCAAUCUCUUCAUCCUCUUUCUUGUUCAUGUUGUCUCUUAUUUUCAAUGCCUUUUUUCUCACUCCCUCUCCAAUUUUCUCCACAAAAACAUCUCUAAUCACCUUUGCGACCUCUUCUCUUUGCAAACUUCCUUCACCUGUUCUCUUAACCUCAACACCAACACCCACCUCCUCCACUAGUCUAGCGUUGAUCGGCUGGUCAAGAUGCAUAGGCAUGGCUAUAAUUGGAACACCAAACUUGAUGCUCUCCAACACUGAGUUCCAUCCGCAGUGACUCACAAACCCCCCAACACUAGAAUGCUGCAGUAUCUUUGCCUGUGGGGCCCAACCCUCCAUUAUCACUCCCUUCUCUCCCACCCUCUGUAAAAACCCUUCUGGUAACACCUCUUCAACCCUAGUAUUUUUCUCCUCCUUAGAAAAUCUUAUAACCCAAAUGAAGCUCACUUUGCUAAGCUCUAAUCCGUGAGCUAUCUCUUCUAUUUGCUCCUUGGACAGAAAGUACUCACUGCCAAAGCAUACAUACACUACAGAAGACCUUUCCAUUUUGUUCAGCCAUUUCAUGAUCCAUGUUUCCUCAUCAACUUUUUGAUCCACUGGCUCUUGAACAAGCGUGCCAACAGGCACGAUCUUUUUCCCCAUUAAAUCAGAGAGAUAAUCAAUAUAUUUUUCUUCAAUCCCCCUGGAUGUCUUUACCAAAAUGAUGUUACAAGAUCGAGCACUGCAUUGCUGAACACGGUCUCCAUCUUUGAUGCCAUUUGCUGAAGAUUCCAACACGUUGUUGAACUUUUCAGCUUCGUAAUCUUGAAGAUAAAUCGAAGGAAAAGGAAACUUGACACUAGGGUUCUUGAGAUGUUGAAUACUAAAUGAAGUAAAGGCAGCACCCAUGGUGAUGAAUUCGAUGGAUGGAAAAUUUUGCAAUGAAGCUAGAGAGGGCGCCCAUGGUUGAAGAAAAUCAUAUAUGAGCAAAUCUGGGCUUAGGGUUUUGAGGAUGUUGGAGAAGUUGUUGCUGGACAUAUCAAAGGCCCUUUUGAGAGUGGACAUGAGAUGGGGAGGGAGGCCAUUGGUGGUAUGGUAGUGAGGUGGGAGUUCAGGCAAGUCAUCAUGUGGAAGAUGGAGUUCCACAAAUUCAAUGCAAUGAGAAUAUUUUUGGGAGAGUUUAGGCUUGAUGGAGCUGAGAUUUACAGGCGUGGAACAAAUAAAGAUGUGAAAAUUUCUCUUGGUGGUCAGCUUCUUGGCUAGCUCUAGGUAGGGAGAUAUAUGGCCGUGAGCUAGCCAUGGAAGCAUAAGAAUAGUAAGUUUUCUUUGGUCAGAGUAAACCAUAUUUUGUUUUCCUUUCACUCUUUUGCUUGAGGUUGCUCGAUUAUAGGCUUAUUGGUAGUUUUUUUGUAGCUAGCUCUAUGCAUAUAUAUAUAUAUAUACACACACAUUCAUGGGAAAAGAGGCUUGGGGAUGGGAAAUCAAUUGAUUUCCUAUGUUUGGUAAAGUUCGGGUAUGAGAAAUCGUUGCUUUGCACAUGAGAAAGUAGAGGGGAAAGUGAAGCCCUCCUCCUUCCUUAGGUUUUGUUUUCCUCCUCAUGGGAAAGUUUGGGAAAAUGAGCUAAUAUUAAAUACAUAUUUUUCAUGACCAUAUUAUCCCCAUUAAUAAUUUAGAAUUACAUAAAUGCAUUCUAUUUUUAUUUGAUUUCAUAUGGGUAUAAUUGAAAAAUUAAACAAAUUUUGUUUUACAUUCCUACACAAACCAAACAUGUGAAAGGAAAUAAAGUGGUAUUUCUUGGUUACUUUCCCAAGAUUACCAAACAUAGGAAAGGAAUCUCUAUUUCCCAUCCCUUAGAAAAUGACUUGGAAAGUAAUUUCUCCUCAAAUUCGUUCCGUGAACCAAACGGAACCUGCAUAAUAGAAGUUCCAAAAAAACACGUGAUGAUUGGAUCAUGCAUAUGUAAGUUCCCGAGUGAUGAUUGGAACAAGUUCCUAAUGAUAAAGACUCGAAACAAGAAUAGUUUAAACUUUCUUCUUUGUUUGGCUUGAUAUAAGACGAAUGCACCAAACAAACCGACUAAUUGCUGGCACAAUAUAAAUUGGGGCUACAAUUACCUAAUAAUUAGGUACUAAGGGCUACAAUUACCUAAUAAUAUCAACUUUCAUUAUACAGAUUUGAGAAACAAAAAGUUCAACUUUGAUGACAAGCGAUAUUAAAGGAGGGCGUAAUCAAACUUAGGAUCUUGAGUGUAGAAAUAAAUACUUUUAACAACUUGAGCUACAAGCCUUUUGUAAUAUUAAUGAUAUUUUAAUUAUACGUUUGAAUAGUUCGCUUCCUUCUCUUUUAUUUUCAUUUGUUUAUAUUUAACUCUAAUUUUAUUUAUAUUUUUGGUCAAGGUAAAAAGACUUUGAAUCUCUCUCCAAUGAUUUUCACAGCCGAAACUCCUUUAGUUUCCACAAAUAUUUUUUAAUAUUUCAUGCAUUUGUAAGUUUCCGACUCGGAUGGUUCAUGUAACCAAGAAGUUUAAACUUGUUUUUGCUUGUUCCGCCGACGAAAGCGCAACAAAAGGACAAACUACAACCAAUACUUCUAGUAUCACCAGUUCUCAUUGAAUUUGUUGCCGUGAAUGUUUAGGAUUCUGCCCAAACUAGUAUUUGCGUUUCUGAAUUGUUUGAAAACACAUAUGAAAUUAUGAUUUCUCCUCCCCAGAAGACAAAUUGACGAAGAAGUAUCAUGAUUUUGAUGACACAAAUUAGAAUCCAGGGUUUUCGAAGUGCCUAAUGGACAACUAUUAAUUUAGAAAUAUAUAUAUUUUUUUCGCAAUGCAGAAACACAUAAAUCCCAAGUUUGAAUUCAUCCUAUUUUUGUUUUUGUUUUUUCCUUUUUUAACCCAGAAGAAAAAUUGAGUGCCACUCUGCUAUGUAGAAUGCAAGUUUUAGUUUAGAUUUUUUUUUCUUUUUAGUCUCUUAUUCUACAUUUAGAUCUCAUAUAUUUACUCGCAUUUUAUUAAAUCUAAGUCAUUCAAACAAUCUGACCACUUAACAAAUUACAAGUACUCAAACUUAAAAUCAGAUUGGAUGGACAUGAGGCUUACACUGAUGAUUCUACACGUGCUGAGAAUAGUCCUUUUAUUUCUUUAUUAUUUUCUUGGUCGGGACUCGAGAGACAGGUGUAGUGUAGCGAUGGAGACGAGGCCCGCAAGACAUAAAAGUCUGAAGAAGAGAAGCGUGAAAGCUUCAUUUAGACAGUUAAGUGCAUACGUAACGUAAAGAUUCAAAGACUAUGUCCCUCUCCAAACAGGGAAAGAUCUGAGUUGAAAGCAACAAACUACAGUCACAAUAGGAAAGCAUCUACAACGUAAAGAAAAUAAGUUUACCAGAAGCAUCGGAAAGAUCUAGAGUCUGAAGAAGAGAUACUGAAGUAAUUGUUCAUCGACUGAGCUUAAAUGAAAUAUUAACUCUUUGUUGUGCCAUAAGCACAAGAUCUUAAGAAAAAAAUUCAAGAUAAACCAUAUAAUAUUUUCUAACCCACAAAAUAAUAUAGAAAAUAAAUGCAAGAACAAGAGAAUAGCAAGACACAACGAGGCUGCUUACAAUCAGUGUAAAUGAGCAAACAAAUUCACCAUCAACAAAUUAGCAUGCUUAUGAAGUGUUUUGCAACCUCACAAACCAAGGCGCCAUAUACACCAAAUGACUCUCACUGAAAAACUAAACAAAGAAACACACUCACACUAAUGAAAGCAACGUUACAAGGUAGGAGAUUGAAUAUUACAUUUACAAUACACUCAUAAGUUACAAAAACUAAUUACAAAUAUUUAGCGCAUAGGUUACAUAGAACUGAAAGGGUGGAAUGAUAAGAGCUAUGGUGGUCAUCCACCAACUCAUGCAUUUACAACACCGCCUCUUGAAUGUCCACCAUACAAUACAAUGAUAUAGUUGCGUCAUUAAACACUUUGCUUGAAAAACUAUAUGGGACAAAACUUAGGCUACGGGAAAAAGAGUGCAACACAAAUAAUAUUGAUAUCACAUUUGUCUCUCCUACGGAAUGAGCUUUGGUGAUGUUUGUAUAAAAAUUGCGUACAAACCAUUAUUGGAAGAUUGGGCUAGAGUGGGCUUUACCCUAGUGUUGACUUUGGAAAGAGACAAAUUAGGCUUAGUUGUGUAAAUUCAAUCCAAAAAAAAAUUAAAUAAUAGCCCACAUCUACAGCCAAAUACUUUAAUACUUUAAUUACUAAAGUUUUUUUUUCUUUCUCUCUCUUCUUUGGUUUAUUCAGCUUUUGAUUUGGCUCAAAUAAUGUUUAUAUCUCUCUUUGAUUUUGUUUUUUCAAAUUUAUUGAUGUUGCUUCUUUUGAAAAUUUUGAAAUAUGGACCCUCCCUAACUAAACCACUCCAUUGAGCAAAAGCCCUUGAGCUUCAAAUUUAUCUUCGUCUGAGCCUCUGAAUUUUGGUUUUUUUUAGGUUUUUUUUGUUUGUUGUAGGUUUCUUUGUUCACAUAUCUCUCUAAAAAUAGUAUUUUUCUUAAUGAAUUCUGAAAAUAGUUUUUAAUUUGAAGGAAAUAUACGGAAUUAGUAAAAAAGUAUACCACUUUCAUUAAUCUGAAGGAAAUAUUGCUUUAUAUAUAUUUGUUUAAAAAUAGGGCUUAUAAUUGAUCUCAAAAAAAAAAAAAAAACAAAUAGCCCACCCCUGUAAAUAUUCCUUAGUCCGCCAUUGCAUGGCAUAAUAUUUGGUAUGCUAUGCUAGCAUCUCAUAAGCUCUUCAAGAGACCUGAAUUUUAUGAUAACUUCUUAAAAAAUUUGAAUACAUUUCAACGAUAUUAAACUUGAAUUUGAACUCAUAAUUCAAUCAAAGUACUCAUUGAGGCAAUUUAGAUCAUUUUCAUUUUAAAAAAAUUGGGUGCACACAUUGAGCUUCAUGCUCUUUACCUUCUUAGAGAUUUUAUUUGAGGAAUUUAUAUUGCAUCACAUAUUACAUCUCUUAGGAUUUGUUCUUAUUAUGUAUUCUUUAAGAGAUCUAUUCUUGCAAUAUGCUUCAAACACUUCAUAAUCUUUAUGAAUUUUUCAUGUAGAUUUAAGGUCUCCAUGAAUAUUGAGAUUGAAACAAGGAGUAAAAGAGUUAAAAGUUUAAGAAAUUUUUUCCCUGAUUAUUUUGUAAUUAUAAUGUUGGUGAAAAUCCAAUUUCCUUUCUAGAAUUUGUGAAAUUUGUUAUUUGGCUAAGCUAAAAGUAUAAUUUUGACAAUAAAAAGCAUAUGAAAGUUUCUCUUUGGUUGGCUUCUUGGCUAGCUCUAGGAACGGACAGUGUGGCCAUGAGAUAACCAUGGAAGUAUAAUAAGAAUGCUUGGAUGCUGUGAACAAUCCAUUUUCUGACUCUUUUUCUUGAGGUGGUUGUUUUCUUAUGGCCCAUCAGAGUUUAUGGUCGACAGAUAAGCUUCAAACACAUGCAUUGGUCGUGUCAGUUGCGAUAAACUCUUCCCAACAAUCAACAAUUUCUAAGGUAAUAUCAUCAUUCAAUCAUGUGCUGAAUUUAGAAUUGUUUUCAAAUCAAGGAUUUGUUUUGGAACUCAGAUUUUAAAACAAUUAAAAUUUAAUUGGGAAGACUUUUUGUUUAAAGGAAGUUCGUUUCAAUUCAAAAAAUAAUUUUUCAGUUUUUCAACUCAAAAGUCUUCUCAGUUUUCUUAUUUUUCUUAUUGGCGAGUUUCUUGGUUAACUCUAGGAAGGGAGAUAUGUGGCCAUGAGCUAACCAUGGAAGCAUAAGAACGCUGACCAUGCUUGGAUUUUGAGAAGACUUCCUCUUUUUUUUUUCCCUGACUCUUCUUCUUGAGGCGGUGGUUGGCUUAUGGCCUCAUAAUAGUUUGGUGUUUUUGGAGAUCAUAUGGUGAUGAUCUGAUGGAGAUGAGUCAUAGUUUGUGCUAGUGCAUACGUAAUUCCAAUUUCCUGAUUCAGAUGGGAUAAACUCUUCCAACAAAUUAAGACUCUUAUCAUGCAUACACAUAAGAAGUGGAAAUUUGCUUCUGUCUUAGUUUGGCCUUGAUAUAGGACAGCUCAUAGGAAAGCAUCCAAAACAAUAUUCUUUUUAUUUUUUUUAUUUGAAUACAAGCGAUAUUAGGAGUGUGGGGAUUUGAACACAUGAUUUAGGGUACAGGGUAAUGCUCUUAACUAUAUGAGUUACAAGUCCCUUGCAAACAGUCUGAAAUACUAAAAAUAAAAAAUAGAUGCUCAUCCAUAUGCACUGUCAUGCCCCAACCCUUGGAUUUACAAAACCUUGUGUUAAGACGUGAUUCACACCUUAAUUAUAGAAUUUAAUAAAAACUAUAACUAAAAUGUGAAGAAAACAUUUAAAUAAAUAAAAUAAAUAUUUCACAUAGAAUAUUCAGUGGAAAUGACAACAUGUGAAAUCUUAAAAAUUUUACAUUAUCUUACAAGUUGGCGUGACUUGUGGAUAUUGACUUACUUUCCUUACACACCAAGAAUUCCUAUUAUAAUUGUAAUUGAUUUACUUUAAUUCAUGAUUUCCUACUGUAAAUAGAUUUAAGAAUUUAUUAUUUACUUGCCCAUUCAGGUUUCGUUGUAUUAUAAAUAUGACCUCCUACAAGGAGAAGAACAUACAGAAAAUUCCCACAAACAAAUAUUCUCUCAUAGUUUUCAUAUUUUAGCAUGGUAUCAGAGCGGCAAUCUUGGAAUUGCUGACUCUAGUUUCAAACCCCCGCCGCCGCUAUGGGGGUUGAUGAUUUUUUCAACCAUCAUGGAGGUAGCACCAUCGACUCCUUCUCUCAUUCUCAACUAACCAUCGUUGAGUUGAGUGCCCAGAUGGCUCCGCUCCUACAGAUGCAGACUUUGACCCCAAACCCGAUCCAGAAUCAGGAUCUUCUUUCGACAACCACGACCCCGAUCUCGACUAUGACAACGACGACCCCGACCCCUACUCUGAAGAUGACCCCGACCCCCACUCCGAUGACCCCAACCCCGAAUUUGUCUCUGAUUCAGAACCCGAUCCCGAUUUCGACUCCGACUCCGGCCUCGACUCAGGCUCAGAUUUCGAUCCAAAUUCCUACUCAACUUAUAUCCUAUGCAUCUUCCGCUGCACAGAUUAUGACUUCUAGACUAACGACCCCGACAUAUGGACCAGAUUGCACAUAUUGUGGUGAUCCGAGACACACUUGUGAGACUUGUUUUAAAUCGCAUGGCUACCCCGAUUGGUGGGCUAUUCUUACAGAUCAAGGACAAUGCACCAGUAAUGGUACUGGUUAUGGAUUCCAUACUUCCGAUAAGAUUGAUUCCAGGAGCUGGAUAAUUGAUUCUGGUGCAACUGAUCAUAUGACGUUUGAUCCUGAUGAUUUUCUGAAUACUACACAACCUCGACGAACUUGUAUUGCAAAUGCCAAUGGUGUUACUUAUCCUGUGACAGGGGCUGGCACUGUUGCACUCUCAUCCUCUCUCACACUGUCUAAUACUUUACUUGUUCCAUUUUUAUCCACUAAAUUGUUGUUAGUUAGUCAGCUUACUAAACAAUUGAAGUGUUGUGUACUCAUUUACCUGAGUUUUUGUUUGCUUCAGGAUAUUCACACUAAGGAGAUUCUUGGUCGUGGUACUAAGAGAGGGGGGCUAUAUUAUGUCGAUGACUUCAGUUCCGGCGUGCCUAACAGUGUGACACAUCCCUUUGAUAGCAAACAAAAGCAAAUUUGGUUGUGGCACCUUCGAUUGGGACAUCCGUCUUUCAGUUAUAUGAAGCAUCUUAUACCAGAUUUAUUCUUAGGUUUCAAGGACUCCGACUUCACAUGUGAUACUUGUAUUUUGGCUAACAGUCACCGUGUGCCCUACCUGUUGAGUACGAACAAGUGUACUUGUAAGAUCCCACAUCAACCAACGGAGAGGGGGUGAUGUGCCUUAUAUAUGCACACCUGCAUCCAUCUAGCACGAGGCCUUUUGGGAGCUCACUGGCUUCGGAGUCGUAGGAACUCCGAAGUUAAGCGAGUUGGGGGCUAGAGCAAUCCCAGGAUGGGUGAUCCACUGGGAAGUUGCUCGUGAGCUCCUAGAAACAAAACCGUGAGGGCAGAGAGAGGGGCCCAAAGCGGACAAUAUCGUGCUACGGCGGAGUUGAUCCCGAGAUGUGACAAUUUGGUAUCAGAGCCACUCUGCCGUGUGGUGCGAAUGUGCCGACGAGGACUUCGGGCCCUUAAGGGGGGUGGAUUGUAAGAUCCCACAUCAACCAACGGAGAGGGGGUGAUGUGCCUUAUAUAUGCACACCUGCAUCCAUCUAGCAUGAGACCUUUUGGGAGCUCACUGGCUUCGGAGUUGUAGGAACUCCGACGUUAAGCGAGUUGGGGGCUAGAGCAAUCCCAGGAUGGGUGACCCACUGGGAAGUUGCUCGUGAGUUCCCAGAAACAAAACCGUGAGGGCCAGAGAGGGGGGCCCAAAGCUGAUAAUAUCGUGCUACGGCGGAGCCGAUCCCGGGAUGUGACAAUUGUACUACUCCAUUUACGUUAAUUCACUCUGAUGUCUUGGGACCUUCGCCUAUCACUGCUCCUUCUGGUGUUCGAUGGUUUGUCACAUUCAUCGAUGAUUGUAUACAGAUGACAUGGCUUUAUUUGCUGAAGAAUAAAAACGAAGUGUUUUCCCGUUUUCAGUCCUUCCACAAACAGAUGAAAACUCAGUUUAAUGCUCAAAUCCAGAUUCUUCGCUCAGACAAUGGUGGAGAAUUUGUCAAUCAUGACUUUCAGACUUACUUCCAACAACAUGGAAUUAUCCAUGAGACGACUUGUCCUCAGACACCACAACAAAAUUGUGUUGUUGAACGAAAGAAUUGACAUCUUCUUGAAACCGCCCAAGCACUUCUGAUUGGCGCUCAUGUUCCUCGCUAUCACUGGGAUGAUGCUAUUGUCACCGCAGUUCACCUGAUCAACCGCAUGCCUUCUGGUGUAUUGACCUUUAAAACUCCCUUACAGGUGCUUGCGCAACACAGACCUCUGCUCUCUGUUUUGGUACUCACACCCCGAAUCUUUGGAUGUGUGGCUUUCGUUCAUCUCCACAAAAAUCAACGUAGCAAACUUGAUCCCUGUGCGCUUCGUUGUGUUUUUAUAGGUUAUGCCACUCAUCAGAAAGGCUACCGUUGUUAUCACCCUCCUACCCAACGAACCUAUGUCACUUUGGAUGUGACCUUUCUGGAAUCUGAGUUGUUCUUCCAUGACCCAUCAUCCAAUUCUACGCAUCAGGGGGGGAUACGAAGUGAAGAGCAGAAUUGAAGCAACUUGGGAAAUAAAGAAAUUUUCCUCUGUACAGAAAUGAUUAAUCAUCCUGAGUCUGGAGCACGAGAUUACUCUCUGUCGAAAAGCAACCAAUCGCCCAUUCAUAGCGAUCAAUUGCCUCACCUACCUGAUCCAUGUGAAGAUAUUUUUGAUCCGAGUCUCACACCUACAGACAAUACAGAACAACAAGAUGAAGACUCCCCCUCUAACUCAACAGUACCAACAGACCAAUCUCCUGAGAAUAUCCUUGAGGUAACUACUCCUACUAGAUUUGUGCAUUUAAAUGAUUAAACUAUUGGAUAUCAAUUACCUUUCAGGGAAAAUCGUGGGAAGCCAUCAAACCGUUAUGCACCUGAUAUUGGCAAGACAUCCAAGUAUCCAAUUGCAAAUCAUGUAUCCACUGAGAAGCUGUCUGAACAACUCAAGGCUUUUGUGCAUCAGUUGUCUGCGAUCCAUAUUCCAACCAAGGUCUCUGAAGCAUUAAAAUAUCCUAAGUGGGUCCAAGCUAUAAAAGAGGAGAUGAAAGCUCUUGAGAAAAAUCAGACUUGGACAUUAGAGACUAUACCUCGAGGAAAAAAGACUAUCAGAUGUAGAUGGGUGUUUACUAUAAAACACAAUGUAGAUGGAUCUAUCGAGCAAUACAAGGCAAGACUUGUGGAAAAAGGGUACACACAGACAUAUGGUAUAGACUAUGAAGAAACCUUUGCUCCAGUUGCAAAGUCAAACACCAUCAGAGUCUUAUUGUCCCUUGCAGCUAAUUUGGAUUGGCCACUACACCAGUUUGAUGUAAAGAAUGCUUUUCUACAUGGCGUACUCACGGAGGAGGUGUACAUUUACAUUCCUCCUGGAUAUAAUACUACUUAGACUGGAACAGUUUGCAGGUUACGAAAAGCAUUGUAUGGAUUGAAACAGUCACCACGUGCAUGGUUUGGACAGUUCACCAUGGCAAUGAAGAACAAUGGUUCAAACAGUGCAACUCAGAUCAUACUCUACUCUUGAAACAUCGAAAAGGGAAGGUAACAACAUUAAUAAUCUAUGUUGAUGAUAUGAUUAUUACUGGGAAUGAUAAACAGGAAAUAUCACAGCUACAAGACUAUCUGGCUACGGAGUUUGAGAUGAUGGAUCUAGGUGGACUCAAGUAUUUCUUGGGAAUUGAGGUGGCUCGAUCCCAGCAAGGCAUAUUUCUCUCUCAAAGGAAAUAUGUCUUGGACUUGUUGACAGACACAUGAAUGCUAGAUUGUAAACCUGCGAACACUCAUAUUGUUCAGAAUCAUCAUCUUGGAGAAUAUCAUGAUCAAGUUCCAACUAACAAAGAAAGAUACCAAAGGUUAGUAGGAAGAUUGAUCUAUUUGUCACAUACUUGACCAAACAUUACUUAUGCAAUGAGCGUUGUCAGUCAAUUUAUGCACUCUCCAAGUGAAGACCACACGAAUGCAGUUCUUCGGAUACUUAGAUAUUUGAAGUCUGCACCUGAAAAAGGACUUAUUUUCUGAAAGCAUGGUCAUAUAAAUAUUGAUGGUUAUUCAGAUGUAAUGUAACAGAUAGAAAAUCCACAUCCGGUUACUUAACAUUCAUGGGAGGUAAUUUGGUGACAUGGAGGAGCAAGAAACAGAAUGUAGUAGCUUUAUCCAGUGCAGAAGCCGAGUUCAGAGGCAUGACUAAAGGAAUUUGUGAACUUCUUUGGUUAAGAAAGUUGCUUACUGAACUUGGGUAUAAACCUACAUCCACAAUGAUUCUCUUUUGUGACAACAAGGCUGUUAUAGCCAUUGCACAGAAUCCGGUUCAGCAUGAUCGUACUAAACAUGUUGAGGAGGAUCGACACUUCAUCAAACAGAAGCUUGAGGCUAAAAUGUUUCAGUUUUCUUUUGUGAAAUCCGAGGAUCAAUUGGCGGAUAUUUUGACAAAGGUGAUUUCCAGUAAAACAUUCCACAAUUCACUGGAUCAGUUAGGCAUUGGCGAUAUCUAUGCACCAACGUGAGGGGAAGUGUUGGCGUGACUUGUGGAUAUUGACUUACUUUCCUUACACACCAAGAAUUCCUAUUAUAAUUGUAAUUGAUUUACUUUAAUUCCUGAUUUCCUAUUGUAAAUAGAUUUAGGAAUUUAUUAUUUACUUGCCCAUUCAGGUUUCGUUGUAUUAUAAAUAUGACCUCCUACAAGGAGAAUAACAUACAGAAAAUUCCCACAAACAAAUAUUCUCUUAUAGUUUUCAUAUUUUAGCAAGAACUACUCGAGAGUUUACUAAAAGAGUAGUUCAGUAUUCAUCCACAAGCUAUAUACACAAUACACUCUAUAGAUAUGCCAAAAUCAUCGCAAGCUCUAGAUUUUAGGUUCGAUACCUGCAAAAUCUAUUAGAAGGGUGAGUGAAACCACAGUUUAGUAGGGACAUAAACCUUUUCACGGUAAACUGAUAUAAUUAAAUUAAGUGAAAAAUAAUCACACAGCCAAAUAUCACAUUAUUAAUAACAAUGCAUGAAUGCUCUUCAUUUAACCCGUUAAUUCAUAUAAUUAGACAAGCUUCACGACCCAUACCAUGCUUAUACCACUUAGUCCCGAAUGCCAAUUUAUAUGAAUUAACGCCCAUUUCAAUCAUCCCAUAAUUCCCAUUUUGUUAGUCAUCUUGUCUAACUCCCUGUUGCCAGUCCUGAAUCACCAAAAAAAAAAAACCAUGUGCACUAUGGGAUCCCUGAGUACUAGUACCUGGCAAGAGUUAGACUCAACUACACAAAAGAUCAUUUCUAUUACCCUCUUAUCCACCAUUAUUUUCUCAACUUCAGAAUUCUAGCCAAAUUCCAUGACAUGAUAUAAUUAAAAUUAUGCCUUCACAACAAUGUGCCCAUUUAAAACAUCACUAAUGCACAUAUAAUUAUGCCCACAUUGUUCAAAUAGUUAAGAGUACGUAAAUACCCAAUACAUGGAACGUCAAUCAAACAGUACCACGCAUAAUAUAAUGCUCAAGAAAUUUAAUUAAAUCAAUCUCUGUAAAAGGCCCCUAAGAAACCCCUGCCUUGAUACUAAAGCUUUUGCUAGACCUAUAAGGUGUUUUCCAAUUUUCCACCGCAUUCACAAACUCUGUCUUCUACUUUUUUUCUUACUUCUCUCUACCACUAUUUCUUUCUCGUUUUCUUUGUUUUCACUUGUUGUGCAACUUAAUGUCCUAUAUAUAUACAAGGAACAAGUCGGCAGUAAGUGAUUUCCUAUUGGAUGGUGUAUUCGGUUGUUAUAAACUUACUAGUAAUAGUUAUCAAUGUAGUUGCAGAUGAGGAAGAAUGUUUUUGUGACUCUUCCAAUCCCUCUAAUCCUAUUUCUUAUCUUCUUGGUGAGUUGAUAGCCUCGAUACUUAACAGAUUUUAUACUUUGACACGUAUUAACAAGAACUAUUUUAAAAACAUAUACAUAUAUAUAUAUAUAAUAGAAUAUGUAUAUAUGUAAUACACAUAUUUAUAUAUAAUAAGAAUAAUAUAUAUGUAAUAAGAUAUAAAUAUUUAUUAGAACAGUAUAUAAAAUAAUAUAUAUCAUUCUUAUUAUAACAAUAAUUUUAAUUUUCCCAAAAUAAUAUAUAUUUAAAAAUAUGUGGUUUCACAUGCAUGUCCUUUUUGCUAUAGACACUAUUACAAAAAUCGAAAUAGACAACGGAAAACUACCGUCGUCUGGAAAGUUUUCAAACAGUCGUGAAAUCGACUGUCGUCUCUUUUACAUAAAACAACGACGGCUAUUAACCAACGUCGUUAAUACAUUCCACGUAAAAAACUAUUAUAAACCGACGUGUAAUUACUAUAUAUAUAGCCUAAAAUAAAAUCUUCAACAACCUUAGACGACGGUUUUAUUAAAACUGACACGUCUAAAGAGUGUUACAUGUCAAGAUCAAAACAAGAACCGACGUACAGAUAAUUAUCCACGUCCUAAUUGAAGUAAAAUAGACUUGGAUAACCUAGAAACCGUCGUGGUUAACAUAUACUACGUUAAAUUAACAAAGGCACUUACGUCUAAAAAGUAAAAGACAACACGCGCACAAAGCAACAGACGUUUAAAGCUUAGUACAUGUCAAUAGCCGCUCAAUAACCGCAGUAAAAUGAAUUAACCACGUCCCACAUAUGGCAGAACUGUUGCUUAUGUGAUUAUCCACGUCGCGGAGUAGUAGAACAAAGACGUUGUAACCAUAUUCCACGUCUGUUUCUUGUGAGAAUUGUCGUUUAAAUUAUACAAAGAAGCCCCUUUGACAGAGUUAGACGUUGCUCUUGCUGUAGAACCGACUUCUAACAGGUUUAAAAUGACACAAUAUUACUUAAUACUGCCGUAACAAAUCAUAUCCACGACUGCUGUUGUCAAAGACUGACGUUACAAAAAAUAUUGAAGGUGUUGACAAAAAAGAACCGACAUGGAUUAUGCAUUCAACGUCGUGUGGUCUAAAAAUAAAGGACGUGGUUAAUUUUUUCUCUACGUCAAGUGGAUCCAAUUGCCUGAUGUUGUAAUUCUUUACCAUGUUGGUUUUUAAUACAUGAUGAUGUGGUUGUCCUUUUAAAAGUCGCUUGUUUUACCCUCCUUGACGUGUGUAUGAUAUGAGACGUCAAUUGUUUUAGACUAGCUGACGUGCAGAAAAUCUGUCACGACAAUUAAUGCAACUGAAUUGCCUCUAUUUCCCCCAGACGACGGUAGGUUUUAAGUGUGGAAGUAGUGUUUUACAAAAUCGUAAGUUGGAGUAAUCUACCAUCGUGUUAUUCGAGAAUAUACCACGAUCUUUGUUUUGUACUCGGUCGCUGAUGUUUAUACUACUUAAUAAACUGACAUGUUUUCAGUUUCAGACGGCGGCUUUUGUUUCUUUAUGGUCUUUUGCAUUUUUUUUCCAUGACAUUUUUGAAAGCCUAAUGUUGGUUUUAUUUUAGAAAUCGAUUUUUCCCCUUUUUUUACUGGACCGUCGUACUUUACACAUUUAAUCAAUUUUUUUCAAUUUUUGAUUCAUCGUGCCCAAAGCCUACAUAACGAAAAUGUGAUCAGAAUUAAAAUGAUGUACAAAGGUAUUAAUUAAUGUCAUACAAUUAACUGAAUAACUAAUGUCAUACACUACAACAAUCAAUCAAUCCAUAUAUCUUCACACCCAUCUUUAAUAUUUUCACUCCCAAACUCACCCACUAGGUCAUCAUAUGUGUCAACAUUUGGUAUCCCUCUAGUAAAUGUCUCACACUCAAUUCUAAUAUCACCUAGCACAUCAUCACCAAUAACAUUAUUAUAUUCUCUAUUAUGCAUUGAUAACACUACCGACCAACCACGAUGCAUUGGGUCGUCAGCAUAAAAUACUUGUUUUGGUCAUUCCUAUGUCCAAUUUUACUCAAAUCUACAAAGGUGAAUCCAAGUUCAUCGACAACAAGGCCCAAAGUGUUAUCUAUCCAAUCACACCUCAAGACAAGGAUUCUAAACUUUUGGUAGUCAAGGUCCCAAAUUUCUUGAAUAACACCAUAAAAACCCAUAUUGGAGACAAUAGAGUUUUUAUCCUUAGCACUAGCAACUUGCAUAGUAUGUGCAAGUAAAUAAACUCCACUAUUUUGGACAGUUCGCAUAUCAUCUUGUGCCUUGGUGUUAAAUUUAACACCAUUAAUAAGAUAGCUCCUAUAUGAUGGCAUUGCCAUGCUUGGACUAGCUGCUAGCCACCUCAAAUUUUAUGAUACGCCAUUAUGCUCUUCCCCAUUAAGUUCACUUUGAACUUGCAAAUUAAUCGUAUAUAUCCUAAUUCGAUCUAACAUAUAAAAAGGAAGAAAAUUAAAAGUUGAAUAUGUCAUUCAAUAACAUAUAUACUUGAAAGUGUAGCCAUUGAAUGAAAGUGCUAUUGUGCUUAUCUUGCAGCCACUUUGUUCUCUUUCUAAAUAUUGGAUAAGUGGUCUUGAUGUGGAUCAUAUGUUCCAUACAUUGACACGAAAAAAUCAAGCAUUACGGUCCCUUGUAUAUAAGAUAACAUAAGGAAUAAUAAUAUUUAAAAUGGCUCUAUAUGAAAAAUGGAACUCAUGCGUACUCGAUAUAAGGUAGGACUUCCUCAGUAUUCUCCAAGACAUAUAGAUGUGUCUGGUUCAAAAAACCCGAUCACCUAAGCUUACUGUGCAACCAGAUAAUGGCUUUGAAACUCCCAUCUUCUAGCUUGAAGGCACUCCAACUGUACUAACAUCAGAUAAAUGCUCGGUGCAAAACUCUACAACUUCUUCAGCUAUAUACCGCUCAAUAAUGCAACAUCCGGGACGAGUACGGUUCUGAACAAACCUAUUUAGCACUUUCAUAUGUCUUUCAAAUGGAUACAUCCAUCUAAAAUAUACUGGCCCAUGUAGACGAACUUCUCUGACAAGAUGUACUACUAGAUGAACCAUGAUAUCAAAGAAUGAAGGGGGAAAGUACUUCUCAAGCAAACGCAACGUAACUACUACAUCUUCUUCCAAAUUAUCUAGCUUGGAAACAUCUACUGUCUUUGCACAUAUAGCAUUGAAGAAGAAGCACAAUCGAGUUAUUGCAUACCUUGCAGGCUUCUCCAAACAGAACGAAUUGCCACAGGGAGCAAUUGUUGCAUCAAGGCAUGAAAAUUAUGAGAUUUAAGGCCAAGAAGUCUUGAAUAUUUUUAAGAUACAAGAUUUUUUUAUAUUUGAACAAUAACCUUCAGGGACUUUCAUACCAUAGAAAGAAUUGCAAACCGCUCUCUUAUCUGCUCUUGACAAAUUCUAGGGCCUUGGAGGCAAGCGAGUACGUCUUUCUCAAUACUCGGGUUGCAAAUCAUUUUUGACCCCCAUGUUCAAUAAAUCUAACCGAACAGCAAUCUCAUCUUUAUUUUUUCUAGGGAUCUCCAGCAAUGUACCAAUGAUACUAUCGCAAACAUUCUUCUCAAUAUGCAUAACAUCUUGGACAUGCCUCAUAGGAAGGUAUUUCAAAUACUCGAGAUCAAAGAAUUUUGAUUUCUUAUUCCAACAAACUCUGUCACCAUCAUUCUCAAAAACACUUCCCCCAUUUUUCGAGCCCCAUAUGUAAUUAAUAUCUUCAACCAUGUCCUAUUCAAGUUAAUGGUUCGGGAGGCGUGCCAUAUUCAAGUUUUCCAUUGAAAGCUGCACGCUACCUCCGACAUGGAUGAUUGAUUGGUAACCAUUUUUUAUGACCAAUGUAACAAAUUUUGGGGCCAUUUUCAACCUGUGACUAGGUGUAUCAUCGCCGCAUAUUGGACAAGCUUUAUAUCCUUUAACGACACUGUAACACCCCGACUCUAAAUUAAUCCCUUAUUUAAUUAUUUAAAGAAAAUUACAAAUUUACCCUUAAGAUAGGGGUAUUUUGGUCAUUUUCUUACCCGAAGAGAGUUUGGGGCAGUGACUAGUAUUUUUGGAUAGGUCGUACUGAGACGAGUUCAUAGACACGUAGUGGGCUCGAAUCGAAGUUGUAACGAGAGAGAUAUGGUCAAAAGAAACCCAAUUGCACAAUCAUAAUUAUUUCGAAAUGAGAUUUUUAUAAAAAUCAGAUUUUUUUUUCUCUCUCUCUCUCUCUCCUCGUCGGUCUCUCUCCCUCUCCUCGAAACUCCGGCCAUCGGCCACGGCUGUGGACGGGGCCGGUACCAAAAUGACCGAGGCGUUGUCCUCCUCUAAUCCCAGCUAGGUCCCGCCGUCAGCCGCCAUGGUUUCGCCGGAAAAUGGAGAAGAAGCGGCCGGCGUCGUCCGAAGUUCUCCGCCGUUGAUCUCCCUCUUCCGGUCACCGAUUCCGACGAGUGAGGUAUGGUUUCUCACCUACUUUUCAUGCUCUAGCUGCCUGCUGGGUAUGAUUGGAUUGAUUUUUAGCGUAGGCAAUUCGAUUUUCGCAUUGAAAUUCGGCUAAUUUUGGAAUCACGAUUCCGGCUAGUUCUGGUCAGUUUUUGGGGUAGAUCCAAGAACAAAAGUGGCUCCAAAUAGGGUGUUAUACCUAGGGUAGGAGUUUGGAGCCAUGGUUUUGAGAUUUUCCGGCGAUACGUAAUCGCUUUAGACACCCAACGCUGCCCGCACGUGUGGCAGUGCGUGGGCGAGGGUAGUGAAAUAGCACUAUGUCUCGAUGAGAUCCUUAGGUUGUCACGAGUGCGUAGGAUUUCGCGGAUCUCAAUUCGGACGUCGUUUGACUAUCGAACGGAUUUUCGUAUAUUGCGCGUCAUCCGGGUUCGAUAGGUUGGGACCGUUGGAUGGUCUCGAAUAAAAUAUAUGUUAAUCUAGGUAUUUCUAGGAUCAUGUAGGAAUUCACGGAUUAUAAAUCGGAGCCCCGGAUAUUCCGAAUAAAUAAUUUAAAGUUUAUGUUUUAUAAUAACCGUCACAUCGUGCGAUCGUGAGCGAUCCGACCGGCCGAUCUGGACCAAACUUACAGAACGAGUGUCCUAUACCUUGAAGAACCCAUAGGAAUUUUCAGAUCGAAAUUUGGAGGUCGUGGGCCCCGUGGGCCCAUUUGACUAGGGGUAGGGUAGUUUGACCCUUAGUUGACCGUGAGUCUCCCGGAGUAAUCUCACCUUUCCAGGGGGAUUAUCGGGUGCUAGACUGUUGUUGAGGUUUACACGAUAUUAGUAGUAAAUUAUAUAUUUAUAUACAUUUGUAAAGGUAAAAAAUAAGUCCAGAAUGUCAGUUUGAAGUGCUUUACGCACUACCUUAGGUACCUCCCCGGAUUUUAGUUACACUACAAGUACCACCCUAUGAAAGUUAGGUCCCACGUGGCGUAGGUUAUCCGGCGUGCGGACAGGCCCUAUACGUGGCAUUGGUAGUAUCGGUGUAUGGGGAGAUUACGUGAUAAUAUGUUGAGGUCACACGUGGCGUAGGUUAUCCGGCGUGUUGACAGACCCCAUACGUGGCGUUGGUUGUACCGGCGUAUGAGGAGAUAUUGUGAUAUGAUAUUCAGGUCUCGCGUGGCGUAGGUUAUCCAGCGUUGAGACAGACCCCAUACGUGGCGUUGGUUCUACCGGCGUAUAAGGAGUUUAUGUGAUAUUAUGUUGAAGUCGCGCGUGGCGUAGGUUAUCCGGUGUGUCGACAGACCCCAUACGUGGUGUUGGUUGUACCGGCGUAUGGGGAGAUAUGUGAUAUGAUGUGCAGGUCUCGCGUGGCGUAGGUUAUCCGGCGUUGAGACAGACCCCAUAUGUGGCGUUAGUUGUACCGGCGUAUGGGAAGAUAUUGUGAUAUGAUAUUCAGGUCUCGGGUGGCGUAGGUUAUCCGGCGUGUUGACAGGCCCCAUACGUGGCGUUGGUAGUACCGGUAUAUGGGGAGAUUAUGUGAAAUACAGAGAAAUGAAAUAAGGUAUUGCCUAUGUGUGGAAUUGGGUUUUAAGGAAGAACUACGUGUGGCUUGAUCCCUCAGGGAGGGUACGUAGGCAGCCUAAGGUUAUUAGGUGUAGCCGCGGACAUAGACGUGAUUGUGUUAGGAGGUUAAAACCUCGUAUGUUGAAAUUGAGAAAAUUAGAUGAUGUAUGUUGAAAUUUAGUAGUCGUAAUUUAUAUUUAAAUUUAUCGUUUGCCUUGUUUAAGGCAUGAAUUGAUUUGCUAGCAUGCUUGGUAGUUGAGAAUUAUAGAAAGGCCGAAGGCCGUUUAUGUGAAUUGCAUGGAAUUAUAUUGUGCAUGCUGCCAGUUGUAGUUAUUAAAUGUGUUUUUAUGCAGGUUGAAAUUUUGGGAAAUGUCCAAUUUACAGGGGAGACUCUGCCGAAAUUUCGGCAGAAAGUCUCGGUCUUUAGUAAGUGGGCCUGACAUCGAGGUGAUGUCGGGGAAUCCACAGGAUCCGCCUCGAUUUUUGGAAAAAUCGGGGCGGUUCCUUUCAGACACAACCAGAUAAGUUCUCAUAGGCAGAAAAAUCAUUAAUUGUUCACAGUAAUACACCUAUGAGUGUAAAGUAAUCUCCUAUGUGUGCAUCAUACACUCCUUUAAUCCCAUCCCACAAAGAUUUUAAAUCAUCAAUCAGAGGCUCUAAGUAGACAUCUAUAUCAUUUCCAUUCUAUUUAGGACCAGAAAUCAAUAAGGUCAAUAUCAUGAACUUCCAUUUCAUGCAUAGCCAUGGUGGGAGAUUAUAUGUAACUAAGAUAACCAACAAUUGUAUCUGCUACUUAAAGAACUGUGGGGAUUGAAUCCAUCAGAUGAGAGAGCCAAUCUCAAGUUUCUUGGCUCUUUACUGAACUCGGGCCAUUUAUCAUCAACAAGUUUUUAAGACGGGAAAUUCGCUGGAUGAGACAUAUGACCGUCAAUUGCUUUUCUAGCAACAUGCCAAGUCAAACUCUUAGCUGUCAUAUGUGAUUGAAACAUCCUUUUAAACCUUGGAAUUGGAGGAAAAUACCACACCACCUUCGCUGGCACACUCUUUUUCAAGAUUGAAUCUUUGCAUUCCUUCCACCUUGAGAUACCACAAGUAGGACAAUUAGUUGAAUCUUCAUAAUCAUUCCUAUACAAGAUGCAGUCAUUGGGACAUGCAUGGAUAUUCUCAUAACUCAUCCCUAAAGGAGAUAAUGUCUUUUUUGCCUCGUACAUAGAGGAAUAUAGUGUCUUUCCUUCUGGAAGCAAAUCUCCUUGAAGUAUCAAUAAUUCUAUAAAACAAACAUCACUCAUCCCAUGUUUUGCUUUCAAAUUAUAUAACUUCACCAAAGCCGACAACAUCGUGUACUUACUGCAACCAGGGUACAAGGAUUGAUCUCAAUCCCCAAUCACAUUGGCAAACUCAUAAGGAUCAAAUCCAAUAUCGCCUAAAUCAUUAUCAUCCAUCCCUACUUCUUUAGAAACAAAACUGAACCUACUUUGCUCAUCUUCUUCCACAUUUCUACUAGCAUUAGUAGUCAAUUCCCAAGGUUCUCCGUGCCAUGUGCAAAUCUGAUAGCUUUAGUCAAUUCCAUUAAAGUAUAAGUGGUCCCUCAUAAUUCCAACCCCAAACAAUCGAAUAUUCCCACAUUUAACACAUGGACAACGAAUAUGAGUUGUAUUUCCAAGAUUUUCUACAGCAAAAUUCAAAAAUCCUUCCACCCCUAACUCAUAUGCCUUCGGUCUUCUAUCCGCAUGCAUCCAUGACUUAUCCAUCUCACACACUAUAAAAUCAUAUAUAUAAUAAAGUGAAAAGACCAGCAAUGAAACACUACUUUAUUCACAUAGCAAAGAAUGAAUUGAAAAAAAAAAUUAACCAAGAAUCAGACGACGGUUUUUACAAAAAAAAUCGUCCUGUAACAGAGGGUCAGACGACGGCAUAUCUAGUUAUCGACGUCUUUAAGCUACCCAAACCCAGAUAUUUGUAUUGCUUUUUGAAGAACCGGGUUCUGGGUUCUGGUAAACAAAAGAUGACGGUAAAUGGAGAAACACCGACGUAUCCUAAAACUUGAGACGACGGUUUAUUUCACCAACCGUCGUCGUAGUUUACGAAAAACAGAAGUCUAAAUCUCCCAUCCUCAUUCCUUUUCUAAGAACCCUUAACAAAAUGCAAACAUCAAAAUAUAAAAGAGCCAUAUAUAGCUCCCAAUUAAGAAACCAAAGCUACCAAAACAUAUAUUAAUAAACCAAAGCUACCAAAAUGAACGAAAACAUUUAUGGGUUUUACAAACUAAGAGAAUAUUGAGAGAGAGCUGAGAGAAUAUACUUACAUGGAUAUUGAGAGAGAGCUGAGAGAAUAUAACAAAUGCUUGAGAGAGAGCUUAGAGAAUAUACACAAUGCUUUGAGAGAGAGCGAAAAAUUUAAGACAAAUUUAUGUUGAAGAGAGAGAAGGAAAUAUUUUAGGGUUAAAGGGAAAUUCUGAAAAUUUUAGAUCACCGUCAAAAUUUUCAAAGGACCGCGUUUUUCAAAGACGGCUAAGGAAAACUACCGCCAUUGUAAAUCAUUUUACUACGACGGUUGAGGAAAACUACCGCCAUUGUAAAUCAUUUUUAUGUCGCCUCUAUAAAAACCGACGUCUAAAAUAUUAAAUAAUUAGAUUUGGUUUGCAUUUCGUGGGAUUCUAACGUGCGUAAUUGACCAAAAAGAGCGAGAGAAAACCAGCGUCGUUUCUAUAAAACCUAAACCCUAAACCCUAAACCCUAAACUCUAAAACCUAAACACUGAAAAAAUUAACCAAAAAUUGCUAUGGACUCCUUACAACAAUGCCUUCUAUAUUAGUAGGCUAAAAUCGGGAUUAAAUAAUUUUGAAUUUUAUGACCACCAAUGGAUCACAUAAACCUUAGGGUUAUGUUUAUGGAAAGUAUAAGGAUUAUUGUGUUUUGUCUCUAAAUCUUUUUUACUUUUGUUAUCACUUGUAACUUUGAAAUCUAAAAUUAAAAUUUUCAGGCCUUUAGGGGGGAGAUAUUGUCUCAAUGUGUUUAUAGAAUUUGAGACUGCGAAGGUUCUAGCUGAUUGACUAAGGAUGAGGCAGGAUGGAUGGAAGGUUUGCUUGGAGAUUCUACCUUUGUCAGCUCUUCUGGUUGACAUGUUGUUUAUUCUGCCUGAGGAACUACUUCUAGAUUUUUCCCUUUUCUAGCAGAACUAGUCUCUGGAAGUACUUGUGUGUCAUCCUUAUUCUUGAGGAAGACGCAGUAUUGCCUUUGAACUCUCCUCUUUUGCAUUCUGGUUAGCUUCAGAGUUGGUCUUCGGCUUUUUCCAAUAGAAUAUCAUCUACCUUCUAUGAUAGUUGCAAAGGGCUUGUCAUUUCCAGGCAUCUUAACUGGUAUUUCCUUCUUUGGCUGCUCUAUUAUUCUCUUGUUGCGUUGGGCAGGCCUUAAAUAGUCCUUCUGUCUGGCUCUAUCUCUAGGUGGAGCCGGAACUAGGCCUUGUUGGUAUGAUGUUCCAAUCCUGUCAAAAACACAAGGUGUGGGCUGACUUUGCCUAACCAGAGUUACCUCUAACUCACUUUCACAUUUGCACCUGUUGCACAAAACUACCCCAGCCGAAAUGGUUGCUUUUGGUCUUCAAUUAGCCUAUCUUUGGACUCUUCUGCCUAUGCUGGGGCUAACUUUUGCUGUUAGUUUGCCUUUCUUUUGUUUUGGCCAAUUUAAGUUGACCAUGUUGACUUGAGGUUGGGGAAAAGGGUCUGUUGUUAUCGAAUGAGGUUUCUCAGCCAGUUUUAGCCUCCAUGCUGUUAUUCCUUCCUGUAUGACGUCCCUGAAAACAACACAACUAUUGGUGGAAUGGUCCCAGGAGUUAUGCCAUCUGCAAUACUGUCUGCCCUUGAGUUCCUCUAGCUUGGGCAACUUGUAGGGUGUUUCUAUUGCCUUCUGUCGCAGCAUGUCAUCAAACAGGGCAUCAACCUUGGUUAAAUCGAGGGAAUAGACUUUGUUAUGAGCUGGUUUGUUUGGAACAAACCCUCUUGUGAAUGGUGGUGGCUUUUGGUCCUUUGGUGGCUUUGUUAAAGCCUUGCAACUGAUGAGAUGUUUUAAUUUCCCCAUUUCUGCCACUGCAACUUCUCUCUCCUCCGAGCUUUCUAUGCCUUCUUCUGAUUCUACCUCAACAAGAUUUACUGAAGAGGAUGGGGUUUUGUAAUAUGUGCCUUUGAAAGAGUUCCUCUUCUAUUGUUCUUCCCUGAGCAGCUCCUUGUAUUUAGAUGCUUUGUCUGCUAGUUCUGCCAGAUCUCCAAACAGCAUCCCAUCAAAUUUUUUUCUCAGAGAGAUUUUAAGGGAGAUUUGAGCCAUUUGGAUGAAGUGCCCUUCCUCCAUAGGGAUUCAAAAUUUCAUUUUGAGCUUUUUGAACCUGGUUAUGAAGUCUUGGGCAGGCUCAUCUUCCCUCUAUUUCCAGGUUUGAGGGCAGCAAGAUCACUGAUGGUGACUUCUGGCUGAAUCCUAAAAUAGUAGUCAUGGAAGACAUUUUCCAUCUAUUUCCAGGUUUGAACAGAAUUGGCUGGUAAGCUAGUAUAUUAGAUGAAGGCUUGUCCAGAGAGAGAAUUUCGAAAAAGCCUUAGUUUUAACAGAAGGUUAUUUUCUAUGGCUAUGCACUGGAAAGAGAAUCUGCCUAUAUGCUUAACUGAUGAAGCAUGGGUGUCUUCUCCGUUGAACAAGGUGAAGUGUGGUACCUUAAAGCCCAGGGAUAGAGGUAUUUGAUCGAUAUAAGCUGGAUAAGGCUUUCUGUAGGUGGGCCUUUCUCCUCUUCUGGCCUCAGGUUCCAUCAUCUCUCUGAUCAUUCUAUAAAGUGCCCCCAUGUCAUUCAAAGCAUUGACAUGAUGCGGGGUUCGCCCCUGUUCUGGCUAGUUGUGUUCAAUCCUUUGUUCUACUUUAUAUGGCCUGGGCAGAACUUCCUCCCUAUGCUCUUCCUCUUUUUCGAAAUCUGGAUGAUUCCUUUAGUUUGCCCCCGGUCUGUUUUUGUCAUUGUUGGCAAAGGGUUUAACUCCUACUCUACCUCUCAUGCCACUUGCUAGUGGAGGGAAUGGAUUGGGGUCCAUCCUUCUAGGUCUGUAGGGCAACACAACUGGUUGCUCAGGCAGAAGUGCCAAGGCCUGAUCACGUGGGGCCACUAGUUGUGGAAUAGGUGGAGGUUCUGGCUAGUUCUGAGGGGGUCUGAACUGGUGCAGAGCCUUCUGGAUGAACUGAAUCCUCAUGUUCUUGGAUGGGAAGGGCUCCUCCCCUCUGUCCAGCUUGGAUUUCUCCAUGUCCUGGUAUUCCAGCUAUCUGUGUGAUGAGAGGCUUCUCUUCAUAUGGCCAUGCCAGUCCUGGUAGAGGUCCAAAAGGGAGAUCUAGCUGCUGGACCACCAUGUCUAGGUUUGGAAUUUUGGCAAUAGUAGCCUCACGGUCCUUCCUGAACUGCCUGUUGACUUGCCAUUACAUCAUGGUUGUCAUGUUGUUUAGAGUAUCUUGGCUCAUUUGUGCUGUGGCUUCUUGCCGAAACACAGCCUCCUGUAUCUAGUUUAACCUUCUGGAACCAGACAUGGAACGUCUACUCGUGGUACUGCCAUGGGCUGAUUACCUAGCAUCACUUUCUUUUGACUCAAGUCCUUUUCGGAGAGCUGCUUGAUCUCUUUUCAUGGCAUAGCGUGGAUUCUGGCUAGAACUUCCAAUAUUCAUAUACUAGAGGAUUUUUCUAGAAAUAUAUGUAUUGAGAAGUCCCACUGGGCGUGCCAAAUUGUUCAUCCGUUUUAGAUUUGUUCCUGUGAUGGUAGGGUAAAGUUCCUCAUUGACUUGAAAACCAUUGGUGGUCAAUAAGUCAACUUUCUUUUGUGUACAAAUGUGCCACUGCUAGCAAUAAAAACCCUAGCAGACUUCUUAAAAAUAGAAAACUUGUGCCCAAGUUAUUAACUUCUAAAUAAGCGAUUGUGAAUUUGGGCGAGGAAUAUCUCCCAAGUAAGUUCUUUUCUUUGCCUCAGAUUGGUGAGGACUUCACAAUUUUUCACAGUACAAAACUGGUAGUUCUAGCUAGAAUAAAUGAUAAGAAAGUGAACUGUUUUCAGGCAGAACUACCUUUUACAAAGCUUAAAAAGGAAGACCAACUCUAAAAAGACAAAAAGAGCUUUUGGACUUCAAUUUCUGCUUGGAUAAAUGCUUCUGAUCCGGGCUGGACUGGGUAUGUUUGUGCUGGACUGGACUAUCAACACCUUCAACUGUCAAGUUUUAGCUGUCAAUGAAUACCAAUGUUCGAGUGUGGCAAAGCUUCAAUCUAUUUCAAGCCGUGCAAGGCUUUUUGAACGGACAGAAUUGGAACCUCUUCAGUCUGGAAGGGGUAGAAGUGGCUGAAUUUGGUGAUUACUGAGCUGGAACUGCACUGUAGUACCUGUUCUGCUUGAUCAGGGCUCUCCAUAAAUUUGUUGAGGUUUUAAUAUUGGUAAAACCCGAAGCUUAUGUUGAACCAACUUUGUAACGAGAGAAAUCUUGCUUUGAAUGACUAUUUCUCUGAAACUAAACAGAAGUUAGAGAUUCUGGAAUAUAGCUGACUUGUUUCUUAUGGCUCAAUGAGCUUUUGGUUGCUUCAGUGUUUUGAAGGCUUUUGAGAUCAAGUGAUCAUUUUGAGUUUUUAUUUUUGAUUGAUUUUUUGGCUGUCCUUUUAUCUGUUCACCUCAUCUCAUAUUUAUAGAAUAUACUGGAGUGUGAUUUCUAAUCUUUUAAUAAUGGGCGGCAAAUCUUUUAAAAGAUCUUUUUUUCUUUUUUCAAUGUCAUAAGAGAAGGAAGCUACUAUUCUGACAGAGAAAGGUUGUCAACAAUCAUCUUUCAAUUUUUCUAUGUUCACUUUUUGUUCUUUGUAAAGAGAAAGAACACAAUCUACCAUGAUGGUCAGUGUGCUUUUCCUGUUGAACAACUCCCUCGUUCUCUACUUAUCUCUUGAAAACGUAGUCUGCUUAUCUCUUGGAAAGACCACCUGAUUUGGUGCAGAGCUUCUCUAUAUAUAUAUAUAUAUAAAGGGAUUUUGAUCUUCUUCUUUUGGCUGAAAAAAUAGAGAAGUCUUUCUGUAAGACCUGCCUUCAUUAAUUUUCUAUCAACUUCUCUGUAAUAGUUGAAAAUUUUGACUUUUCAAAGCCAGGUAUUCACGUGGGGUUGUUUAGAAAAGAUCUGUUGAUUUUGUCAAUCUUUUAGGGUAGAGAUUAAAUAGCGUAAAAAGGCUGGGCUAGUCUCUUUUUCUUAGUAGAUAAAAAGCCCAAAUAUUUUGUCUCACUGCCCUUUUCUGGAAAAUAAAUGGGCUGGGUGUGUUGGAAAUUGGCCCAAUCUUAAGAAAGACUCUGGUGGCUGCCCAAAAUUGACAUAGGCUUUUCUUGAUUUUGGGCUGGGCAUGCCAAAUUAGGCCCAAACAAUGCCCCUUAAGUCUGAAUUGUUUUUGGAAUAGUUUCAGACUUAAUGAUUUGGCCAUUAAUUUGUGCGCGCCAUUUCCUUCUGUUAGCCCACAUCUGCCACGUCUGCCUAUUAUGAUCAAGACUUCGUGGGAAAGUGGGCAGUUACUAGCUAGUUAUUAUCAGGUGGCGUCUUGUCUUCUUCUUCCCACGAUUUCGAGUCUUUCUAAGAAAUUUAAAAAGACCUCAGCUCCUGUUUACUCAAAACCUAACUUCUUCAGACCUUGAUUUUCCUCAGUUUUCUCAGAAUUUUUACCCUUUUCUGCGAUCAAACCCUGCUUCCUUUCAGUUUGAUUCCCCUAUCCUAGCUCAAAACCCGAAAAUGUCUUCUCCAAAAAAUCGUGCCCAGACUUCUUCUUAUUCUGUUCCUCCUACCUACAUUACUGGGGCCGGUGUUGAUAAGCAUGUGAUUGAAGUCCGGAGCAAGCUUCAUCCUUUUGCCCAGAACGUUCUGGACAAGAACGUGUUACAUUUGUUCGAGAACACUCUUGUUUUGGAGCCUCAUCGGUUUGGUUCUGUCCCGACUGAAAUGGCAGAAUUGUUUAAAGAAUAUACUGAAGCUCCUCUAUGCUUUCAGAGCUCUUUCGUAGAUUUCAGUUUUAUAUAUAAACUAUCGUGUUUCUCCCUAUAACAUGUCGUUUUUAAGAAUUGUUGUCAAUGUUUUAUUUCCUGCUACUAUAAGACGGCGAUUAUUUAUACAUAUGAGACGUGUAAAUUAGAAUGAGACGUCAGUCUUUGGGAUUUAAAUUAAGUUUUUACGAUUUAAUGUCAUUUUAGUUCAUAUAAGGACAUAAAUGUCCUAACCAAAAAUAUAUUUAUGUACAUUGUCAAUAAAUUAAAAUAAACCUAAACAUUGUUAAAAUAAAUUAGAUCACUUAUUAUUCUGUAAUUACUUGUUAACGAAUUCAGCCCAUUCCAACCUGACUUCGUCAAUAUGUUCUUAUACAUACUGAACUGGUUCCUUUUUCUUAUCAAACUGCAAAUAAAUAACAAAAACCAACGUGUUAUAAAGAUUACAACGACUGCUUUUAAAGAAAAAGUUGUGGUACUAAAAUAAAGAAUUUAUAUCUUAAGUUUUGCCUUUUACCUUCUUCUCAAAUGCUAGGCCUGGAUCAUGAAUUAUAUCUCUCAUGAAAUGCAUCACGUAAUAGCCACACUCUACAUUUGUUGGUUGUCGAGGAGUGCCAUGUAGAUUUUUCCAUAUGACUGAUUUACAUGAUGAUUAAUUGCCUGUGUGAGAGUUAUACAUUUUGAUUGAACUGUUUCAAGAAAAUGAAAAGUGUUAAUGAUAAAAAUAAAAAUCUAAAGCAAAAAUAUUAAACGUCGUGGUAAAUAAGUGAAGACGAUGGUUUUGUUAAAAAAGUGAUGUUGUAUUUCAUUUCAAACGUUGGUAAAUAAAAACCGUCGUUGUGUAGAAUUCUAACGUCGGUGACGAUGAAAAAUGACGUAUAACCAAAAAUUGUUUGUAAAUGAAAGUUGAACAGAAAAAAAUAAAACUUCCUUAAAUGAAAAACACAAACGACGUGGUAUUUCAAUUAAAAUGACGGUUUACAGAAAAUACUGACGUUGUAAAUGAUUUCAAACAUCGGUUUGAAGUUACCAUCGUGUUUUCAUUGUAACGUCGGUAUUAGAAAAAGCCGUAUAUCAUUCAAAUGCAAAUAAAAAAAUGUUAGAUUUUCAUAGAUAAACUUACAUAUUCACUAUAUUUCUCAUGUCCUCGUCAACAACGCGGUUUGGCAAUGAAUCCAUGUAAUAGAUAGUCUCCUUCGCUGGUCUCACAAUUAUUAACACCCAAUGACCCCUACACAUAAUGAUCCAUAUAGGUUAAAUAUACUAGAAAGAAAAAUAGGCAUCAAGUAUAGUUAAGGGGACUAACCUUGGAUUACAAGGCACCAUGUAAAAUUGAUCCCCAUUUGCGUUUUUCAGGCGGUCUGAGAGAUGUUUCAAACGGUAAGAUAACGUUCCAGAUUGAGAGCUGACUUGUCCAAGGUCCACGAAGCCAAUAAGGUUUACCAUAUUUUCUAUUUUUAAAUAGUCAAAUAGGCACCUAAAUAUAUGAAAUUCAAUUAAAUGAGAUUUUAACUUUAAAGAAAGGAAAUGUAUAAUGCAAUCACUGUGGAUCCAAUCUCAACCAUGGAAGGAAAUUGUAAAAUAUCUUCACACAAGAGGAAGGUAUCAUGGUUAAUGCCAAAGGCUUCCUCUGGAAUGUGAAUUCUAAUGGUCUCGUUAAUGGGCUUCAACUUGGUCUCGACAAAUUGAAAUAAGGCUAACAGAGGAGGUGGCAUGUCUAGCUUUGAGAGAUCCUGUUACAACAAAUAAAUAAAGAAAUAUAAGUUAGUUUGUACACUAAGUAAAAUAAACGACUCUAACUAAACCAAUCAAACCGACGUGGUAUAUAAUAUAAUCGACAGUUUCUAGAACAUACUGAAGGAGUAAAGGUUAUAGACGACGGUAAAGACAUAACCAUCGUUAUGUAAAUGUUCUAACGUCGCUGCAUUAUGGAAAGGUCGUCUAAUUAAAAUGCAGUGAAGCCUUUAUUGAAAUACACGACAGUUUAUAAAAUAAACACCGACGUAGUAAAAUACUGAGACGACGGUUAUCAGCAACGUCUAUUUGAAAUUAUAAAUCAGAAAAAAUCAAAUAUCAAAGAUUUUACCGUUUCAUCUUGCCAUUGUUUAGCAACAUCAGCAUCAUUCGUGGGAUUUUCUUCCUCCAAAACAAGGGGUCUCACAUUAGAGCAGCUUGCUUUGUCAGACAUUAGAUUUUUUGGAGUAAUUGGAGUUUUAUUGAGCAAGUUGGGAUCACAGUUGGGAAUUAGUUGACUGAAUUGUUUCAAUAAAAUUUCCCUCUCUGCUCUGACUGCCUCCAAAACAGUUUCUUUUGCCUUAGCUUUAAUCUUUUUGGUUUCUUCUCUCACUGCCUCCAUAACACUUUCCUUCAAUUUGUUAGCAAAUUUUACUCUCUGCUGUCUCGACAAAUUGAAGAAUUGAGUUGGGGAAACCCCAGCUCCAACACCUCUAACUCUCCCACCAUGCUCAGGGGUUCCCAAAGCCAAGGUCAAAAUAUCGUUGCUCUCAGAGACAGCAGAGUGCCCUCGGAAACUUGUUUUUUCAAAUCAUCCUAAAAGUGAGAGAGAGAGAGAGAGAAUGUUAGUGAGUGAACAGAUAGUAAAACAGAUUAAAUAAACAACUAUACAAAAAUAUUAACCGACGUGGUAAAGACUUUAAAAAACUGAAAUCAAUCCCCAAUAGUAACAGGGACCAUGCAGCAACGAUUUGGUUGACAGUAGUAUAGGUUGGAGAUGCUGUUGAUCAUUAGAUACUAUUUUUUUAAAUAUCAAUUCUGUAACAUCCAGACCUAAAAAAUUAAUGAUUUUGAUUUAAAAUUAAAUUUAAAUAAGCAAUUACGAAUUUACCCUUGGGGAAGGGGUAUUUUGGUAUUUUUUUUUUAUUCAGAAAGAGUUUGGGGCAGUGACUAGUAUUUUUGGGUAGAUCGUACUGAGACGAAUCCGUAGACACGCGGUAGGCCUGAAUCGGAGUUGUAACGAAGAAACGGUGACCAAAAUUAGUCCAGUGGCAAACUUGUAAAUAUUUUGAACUUGGGUGUAGAAAAAUCUGAAACUGGCUUCCUCUCUCCUGCGUGCACACGUCCUUCUCUCUCUCUCCUCUCUCUCUCCUCGAUACCAUCACUCUCUGUCUCUCUCUUCGAUUCUCUCAAUUCUGGCCACGGCAAGGGCCGGGACUGGUUCCGAUCAACUCCUCACAAAGCCCCGAACCAGAACCACCACUUUUCUUGGCCGGAAAGCUCGAGUUUCGCGUGGUAAUCUCGACUGGUUUGAACCAGUUUUCCUCCGUCAUUGUGCCGCCGCCAUCGCAGCCCAAUCUCGGUUAAACAAGUGAGGUUUCUUACUCUUUUUCCGAGCUCUAGCUGCCUGUUGGGUAGGAUUGGAUUGAUUUUUUGUCUAGGAUCCCGAUUUUGAAACCUAAGUUUUGACGAAUUUCAAAGUGAAAUUCCGGCCGGUUGCCGUCCUAAUUAGACCUCCCCGUAGUUGAAUAAAGUGAUCCUCGCUUCGAGUAGUAGCUAAGGUAGGAAUGGUGAAUUGCGGUGUGGAGUUUUUCCAUCACUGAAAAUUACUCUACACAUCCACGCGUUGCCAGGGCAUGUGGAGGCGCAUGGGCAAUGUGGUGAGACCACAUUUUAUCCUGAUGUAGUCUCCUAGUCCUCACGUGCGCGUAAGUGUGCUCGAAUUUCAAUUCGAAUGUUGUUUGACUAUCGAACGGAUUUAUGCAUAUUGUUUCUUAUCCGGGUUCAAUAUGUUCGGACCAUUGGAUCGAGUCCAAAUUUACGUAUGUUAAUCUAGGCACCCCUAGGAUCAUGUGCGAAUUCGCGGAUCGUGAAUCGGAGCCCCGAAUGUUCCGAUUCAAUAAUUUGAAGUUUAUGGUUUGCGAUAACCGUCAAUUUCUGACCAAACCUACAGGACGUGUUUCCUAAACCCGUAGUCGGACCUUAGAAUACUCGUUAUGCGUGCACGCACCGGGAACUUGAGAAAAUUAGUAUUUAAUUUGUAAAUUCCGUUUUGAAGUGAUUUUUUAUUAAUUAAGGGUGCGUAUCUCGAAAUAGGUGCUCCAUCACUAGCACGCAGCAGGUAGGACCCUCUUGAGGUCAGGCAGUGUGGGACUACUUGUGAGUGGACAUUUAUUUUAUAUAUGCAUUAUUUUCAAUGAUUGAAAGAAUAUGCAUGAAAUAUAUAUAUUUUUUGGAAUAAAGAUUGAGAAAUUCAUAUGUUGUUAUAUCAGUAUUAUUUAAUUUAGAAUUUGGUUUGAUUUGAUGAUGAGUUAUAUAAAGGUCAAGUUAUUCGUGAUUAAGUCUUGGAUGAAUUUUGGGGGAAUCGGGAAUUGAAUAUUAUGGUUUAUGGUGGGAACUUAUAUGAUUACACUGUGUGGAGUACCAUCCCCUAGUUACUAGGCUUCCCACAUGUGGCGUUGGAAAUUUUCCAGCGUGUGAUGAUGUAGUCUGCACGCAUAGGACUUAGUAUUGGAGCUACACGUGGCGUUGGAAUUUCCGGCAUGUAAGCUAUGGAGUUUCGUCCCCCGGUUGGACCGCUCAUCCCUAGACGCAGGAUAGCAACUGAAAAUCUUGCGGGUUAGCCAAACAAUCCCCCGGUUGGAUUGUUUCCCCGGUACCUAAGUAGUGUGAUAAAUAUUAUGUAUAUUUAUAGAUAUAUAUAUUUCUAUGUGUGUGUGUGUGUGUGUGUGUGUGUGUGUGUGAGUAUAAAUCAGUUAAAGUAUAUGUAGUGGUUGGGUAAGAGCAGUAUAAAUUUUGGGGAUAAAGUUUAUGGAUAGAGUGAUUGAUCUCAAAGGGUUUCGGAGAAUGAUGUUUUUGAUCAUUAAAUAAAAGUUAUGAAUCUGCAUGUCUUGAGCAUUAUUUUUAGACGGUGGGGUUAUUAUGUUGUUUUGAAUGCAAAUUUUGUUUUUCCACUCACAUGUUUUCUGUUUUGCGCCCCCCAAACAGUAGUCGCUCAAGGGAGAGUUGCAAGCCAUGUUCGAGGCCCCGAACUGUGAACAUCAGUAGAUUAGGUUUCGAGUAAUUUCUUUCUACUCAACUGGAUGUUCUUGUAAACUAAAUUCGUUAGAUGCUCUAUUAUUGCCCCUGUUAGGUUUUACUUGUGAGGCCAGAGGCCAUUUAGUUUAUACUGUUGAAUAAUAAAUGCAUGCUGCUGGUUGGGAUUAUAUUGUGCUUAUGCAGGUUGAAAUUUUUGGGAUUGUUCAAUUUACAUGGGAGACUCUAGCAAAAUUUUAGUAGAGAGUCUCGGUUUUUAAUAAGUGGGCCAGGCAUCGGGGUAAUGUCGGAAAUAAGACUGGAUUCGUCCCGGUUUCCGAAGAAUUCGAGGCGGGUCCUGUCAAGUUCCUCCUAUUAACAAUAAUAAAUUAAAUAUUUAUAUAACUGAUAACAGUUCCUCAUAUUAACAAUAAUAAAUUAGUAUUUUGUAUAAUAAACAUGUUUAAUGAAAUUCAUCUUCUUCUAGCAUGUUUAUUUAAAUUCUAAGUUUUCUGAAGAAAAAAAAAAAAAAAAAGGAGAAGGAAAUGUCCUAAAUUAAAUCUUAAAAGUUCAUUUUUUUCUGUCCCUAUAUAUUUUUUACCCAAUUAUAAUUUGAGAAAAAAAGGUGAAUUAACUGUCAUUUCACCUUCAUCAUUUUCAUGAUUUAUAUAAGAUUCUUCAAAGAUCAUUUCCACAAAAAAUUACUUAAAUUCGAAUCCAUUUAACCGUCUAAUUAAAUCGUUAGGACCGUUGAAAUAAAAUUUAAAGUGAGUUUAAAGUGAGUCCUACUAUGUCUCCCUCAAAUAAGAUCAUUUACAGGAUCUGUCGAGUCAUAUGAGAAUGUUUAGCUUUUCGAUCCCAAGAGUUUGGUUCGAUUUUCAUAUAUAUAUAUAUAUAUAUAUAUAUAUAUACAAGUCAAUUUACUUUAAAAAGUUCACCAAAUUUUAUUUUUGGUCUCGGUAGUUUGCUUGAGGGCCUUUUUCUGUCAAUCUAUUUGUUGUGAUUGAAAGAUUUUAUAUAAAACAAAAGAUAUGUUUUUAUCUUAAAAAAUGCUUAUUUUCAGAUCUUUACAUAUAGACAUACAUAUGGCCUGAGAAUUCAAGCAAUAAAGACAUAAGCUGAUGAGCAUUCAUAAUCAUUAGAAUGAGUACUGAAUGGUCAACUCUUUCAAAAUACUUCGGAAAAAAACAAAGGACAAUACUUCCUUCCUUACUCAUAAGAAGGAACUCCUUCUCACCUUCUAUUGUCCCUCAACCACAAAGUAACAAGUGUUCUCUUUUUUUAAUUGUCAAUUUUUUUUUUUUCACUUUUACUGAACCCCUAGCUUUUUACCAAAGCAAAAAACACAAAACAAUAUUCCCAUUGUUUUUUUUUUUCAUUUUGAUUUUUUUCUCAACUUUUUGAAAAAUAACAUUUUUCCUUCUUCAGUAAAAAAUUGAAGUCUUUGUGGUUAAAAGCUAAGGUUUCAGUAAAGGUUUAAAAUAAAUAAAAAGUUUUGACAAUUCAAAAAACAGAACACAUAUCACUUUGUGGUUGAGCCGCAAUAGAAAGUAAGAAAGAAUUCCACCUUACCCAUAAGGAGGGAAGUAUUGUCAAAAAGAAAACAUCUUAAAAAACACACAGAAAACCCACCAUCACUACUUAAAAGAAGUAGAGAAGUCCAACAUUCUGAUUUUUAUACACCUACGUGACGUGAGCAUUCAAUAAUCAUCCUACACAUAUGUUGAUGUGAGCAUUCAAAAUCAUUAGAAUGAUUUAAUUGAAGACUCAACGUACGGACGUCUUUUUCACUUAGAUUCCCUUCCUGUACAAACUUGAAUCAGUUCCUCCACGACCCCAUCAAUCUCUUCAUCCUCUUUCUUGUUCACGUUGUCGCUUAUUUUCAAUGCCUUUUUUCUCACUCCCUCUCCAAAUUUCUCCACAACCACAUCUCUAAUCACCUUUGCGACCUCUUCUCUUUGCAAACUUCCUUCACCUGUUCUCUUAACCUCCACACCAACACCCACCUCCUCCACUAGUCUAGCGUUGAUCGGCUGGUCAAGAUGCAUAGGCAUGGCUAUAAUUGGAACACCAAACUUGAUGCUCUCCAACACUGAGUUCCAUCCGCAGUGACUCACAAACCCCCCAACACUAGAAUGCUGCAGUAUCUUUGCCUGUGGGGCCCAACCCUCCAUUAUCACUCCCUUCUCUCCCACCCUCUGUAAAAACCCUUCUGGUAACACCUCUUCAACCCUAGUACUUCUCUCCUCCUUAGAAAAUCUUAUAACCCAAAUGAAGCUCACUUUGCUAAGCUCUAAUCCGUGAGCUAUCUCUUCUAUUUGCUCCUUGGACAGAAAGUACUCACUGCCAAAGCAAACAUACACAACAGAAGACCUUUCCAUUUUGUUCAGCCAUUUCAUGAUCCAUGUUUCCUCAUCAACUUUUUGAUCCAUUGGCUCUUGAACAAGCGUGCCAACAGGCACGAUCUUCUUCCCCGUUAAAUCAGAGAGAUAAUCAAUAUAUUUUUCUUCAAUCUCGCUGGAUGUCUUGACCAAAAUGAUGUUACAAGAUCGAGCACUGCAUUGCUGAACACGGUCUCCGUCUUUGAUGCCAUUUGCUGAAGAUUCCAACAAAUUGUUGAACUUUUCAGCUUCGUAAUGUUGAAGAUAAAUCGAAGGAAAAGGAAACUUGACACUAGGGUUCUUGAGAUGUUGAAUACUAAAUGAAGUAAAGGCAGCACCCAUGGUGGUGAAUUCAAUGGAUGGAAAAUUUUGCAAUGAAGCUAGAGAGGGCGCCCAUGGUUGAAGAACAUCAUAUAUGAGCAAAUCUGGACUUAGGGUUUUGAGGAUGUUGGAGAAGUUGUUGCUGGACAUGCUGAAAGCCGUUUUGAGAGUGGACAUGAGAUGGGGAGGGAGGCCAUUGGUGGUGUGGUAGUGCGGUGGGAGUUCAGGCAAGUCAUCAUGUGGAAGAUGGAGUUCCACAAAUUCAAUGCAAUGAGAAUAUUUUUGGGAGAGUUUAGGCUUGAUGGAGCUGAGAUUUACAGGCGUGGAACAAAUAAAGAUGUGAAAAUUUCUCUUGGUGGUCAGCUUCUUGGCUAGCUCUAGGUAGGGAGAUAUAUGGCCGUGAGCUAGCCAUGGAAGCAAAAGAAUAGUAAGGCUUCUUUGGUCAGAGAAAACCAUAUUUUGUUUUCCUUUGACUUGUUUUCCUUUGACUCUUUUGCUUGAGGUUGCUCGAUUAUAGGCUUAUUGGUAGUUUGUUUGUGGCUAGCUCUAUGCAUAUAUAUAUAUAUAUAUAUAUAUAUAUAUAUAUAUAUAUACACACACAAAAACGCGUGAUGAUUGGAACAUGCACACGUAAGUUCCAGAGAGUGAUGAUUGGCCUAUGAUAAAGACUCGAAACAAGAAUAGUUUAAAUUUUCUUCUUUGUUUGGCUUGAUAUAAGACGAAUGCACCAAACAAACCGACUAAAUGCCGACACAAUAAUUAGGUACGUAAUAAUAUCAACUUUCAUUAUAUAGAUCUGAGAAACAAAAAGUUGAACUUUGAUGACAAGCGAUAUUAAGGAAGGGCACAAUCGAACUUAGGAUCUCGAAUGUUGAAGUACAUGCUCUUAACAACUUGAGCUAUAAGGUAUUUGUAAUGACAAUUUAUGGUUUUAAUUAUACUUUUGAAUAGUUGCUUCCUUCUCUUUCAUUUUUAUUUUUAUUUGUUUAUAUUUAACUCUAAUUUUAUUUAUAUUUCUGGUCAAGGUAUAAAGACUUUGAAUCUCUCUCCAAUUAUUUUUCACAGCCGAAACUCCUUUAGUUUCCACAAAUCUUUUUAAACAUUUCAGGCAUAUGUAUGUUUCCGAGUCGGAUGGUUCACGUAACCAAGAAAUUUAAACUUGUUUUUGUUUGUUCCUCCGAAGAAAGCACAACAAAAGGACAACCUACAACCAAUACUUCUCAUUGAAUUUGUUGCCGUGAAUGAUUAGGACUCUGCCCAAACUAGUAGUUGCGUUUCUGAAUUGUUUGAAAACACAUAUCAAAUUAUGAUUUCUCCUCCCCGAAAGAAAAAUUGACGUAGAAGUAUCAUGAUCUUGAUGACACAAAUUAGAAUCUAGGGUUUUCGAAGUGCCUAAUGGACAACUACUUAUUUAGAAAUAUAUAUAUUUUUGUGGCUAAAAUUUAAAUUUAUUAUAUAUAUUCUCAAUGCAGAAACACAUAAAUCUAAGUUCGAAUUCAUCCUUUUUUUGUUUUUUUUUUUUUGUUUUUUUAACCCAGAAGAAAAAUUGAGUCCCACUCUGCUGUGUAGAAUGCGCGUUUAGUAUAGAUUUUUUUAUUUUUGAGUCUCUUAUCUGGUUCCCGAGCUUCUACAUUUAGGUCUCGUGUAUUUAUCUGCAUUUUCUUAAAUCUAAAUCACUCAAACAAUCUAACCACUUAACAAAUGACACGUACUCAAACUUAAAAUCAGAAUGGAUGGAGUAGAGGCUUACACCGAUGAUUCUUGGUCAAGACUUGAGAGACAGAUGGAGACGAGGCAUGACAUAAAGUCUGAAGAAGAGAAACGAGGAAGCUUCAUUUAGAUGGUGGUGUAAGUGCAUACGUAAAGUCCAGAUUCAACAGGAAAGCAUCUUAAACGUAAAGAAAAUAAGUUUACCAGAAGCAAAAGAGAUACUGAAGUAAUUGUUUAUCAACUGAACUUAAACGAAAUAUUAACUCUUUGUUGUGCCAUAAGCACAAGAUCUUAUGAAAAAAAAUUCAAGAUAAACCAUAUAAUAUUGGGAGAUUCACGUUUAUACCGAAUAUAGGAAUUCAAAUUAUAAAAUAAAUAAAUAAAUAAAAUAAUCGAUAUGAAAUGGACUUUAGAAACACACACAAAGCCUAUUUACAACAUAACAAAAAGGUUUUUCCCUUCUUUUAAAUUACAAAACUGCCAUUGAUUUCUUAAAACAAACCCAACUCCAAAACCUCAUUAAAAAAGCACAAAACACUCAAUAGGGUGUCAAAGUAAUUUAAUAAUAAAAAAUAAAUUCAAUAAGGCCAAUUGAAUUUUUUGGAUUUUUUUUUGGGUUUGUUUAUAGAAAUUAAUGGUGUAGGGUUUAUCUAUAUUAUUGGUGUUAAGAAUGAAUAAUGACUAAAUAUCUCUAUAAUAUUUUCUAACUCACAAAAUAAUAUAGAAAAUAAAUGCAAGAACAAGAAAAUAGCAAUAUGCAAUUUAACGAAGCUGCUUACAAUCAGUGCAAAUGAGCAAACAAAUUCGCUAUUAAUUUAUGAAGUGUUUUUGUAUUUACAAUACCGCCUCUUGAAUGUCCACCAUACAAUAAUAUAGUUGCAUCAUUAAAAACUUUACUUGAAAAAUCGUUUGGGACAAAACUUAAGCUAAGAGAAAAAGAGUGCAACACAAAUGAUAUUGACAUCACAUAUGUCUCUCCUACAGAGUGAGCUUUGGUGAUGCUUGUAUAAAAAUUGCUUUCACAUCAUUAUUGGGAGAUGUAUGUAUGUCAUCAAUCAUUUGAAUCUUGUUGAGGUUAAAGUAAAACCAAAAAAAUAUCAAGGGCCAUUUUCAUAUAGUUUUUCACAAUAAAAAUUAACAAAAUAACUUCAUGUUCUUUAAUAUCAUCAAAAAAAUAAUAUAAACAAACUCAUAGUUUACCUUUUCAAUGAUAAGUGUUUGGAAAAUUUACAUGGAAUAAUAUUUGGUAUGCUAUGCUAGCAUCUCAUAAGCUCUUCAAGAGACCUAAAUUUUAUGAUAACUUCUUAAAAAAAUUUGAAUACUUUUCAACAAUAUUAAACUUGAAUUCAAACUCAUAAUUCAAUCAAAGUACUCAUUGAGGCAAUUUAGAUCAUUUUCAUUUUAAGAAAAUUGGGUGCAUACAUUGAGCUUCAUGCCCUUUACCUUCUUAGAGAUUUUCUUCGAGCAAUUUAUAUUGCAUGACAGAUUAUAUCUCUUAGAAUUUGUUCUUAUGUAUUCUUCAAGAGAUCUCUUCUUGCAAUAUGCUUCAAACACUUCAUAAUCUUUAUAGAUUUUUCAUGUAGAUUUAAGGUCUCCAUGAAUAUUGAGAUUGAAACAAGGAGUAAAAUAAAAGUUUAAGAAAAAUUUUCCCUGAUUAUUUUGUAAUUAUAAUGUUGGUGAAAACCUAAUUUCCUUUCUGAAAUUUGUGAAAUUUGUUAUUUGGCUAAGCUAAAAGUAUAAUAUUGACAAUAAAACGUAUACGAAAGUUUCUCUUUGGCUGGCUUCUUGGCUGGCUCUAGGAAGGGACAUUGCGGCCAUGAGAUAACCAUAGGAAGCAUAAUAAGAAUGCUUGGAUGCUCUGAACAAUCCAUUUUCUGACUCUUUUUCUUGAGGCGGUUGUUUUCUUAGGCCCAUCAGAGUUUAUGGUCGACAGAUAAGCUUCAAACACAUGCAUUGGUCGUGUCAGUUGCGAUAAACUCUUCCCAACAAUCUGAGACUCACAUCACUCCAAACACAUAAAAAGAAGUGGAAAUUUGCUAUUCUUUGUCUUUGUUUGGACAGCUAAUAGCAAAGCAUUGGAAACAUCGAAAAAAGAAAGUUAAUUAAUUUAAGAAAAACAAAGAAAUCCUUCUUUUUUUUUCUUUUUUUUUUCAGCAAACCGAAACAUAAAAUCCGAAAAAGAAGAAGGCAUGUCCAAAAUUACAUCUUGAAUUUAUUUUGGAGAUUCACUAUUAUACUCAAAUUAUAUAUGAAAUAAAUUUUAGAAACACACAUGACGCCAAUUUACAAUAUAACAAAAAAACUUUUAACUUCUUGUAAAUUACAAAAUUGUUAUCGAUUUCUUAAAACAAGCCUAAUCCUAAAACCUCAUAAAAAAAAAAUCAAAACACUCAAUAAGGCAUCAAAGUAAUUUAAUAAUUAAAAUUAAAUUUAAUAGGGUCAUCUGUCAUUUUUUGGAUUUUUUUCGAAGUUGUUUAUAAAAAUUAAAAUAAUGUAUAGUUUGUUUAUAAAAAUUAAAUGAUGUAGAGUUUCUUUAUAUAAUUAAUGUUAAUAAUGAGUAUAUGAAUAAAUGUCACUUUUCUUUAUUAACCAUUUAUAAUAUAUGAACUCAAGACUUCCUAUCGAACACCGAAUGGUCUUUCCAUUCCUUGUUAAUUCAAAGUCUGAAAAUGUUCGGUGUCAGCUCAUGAAUUUAAAGGCUUAAAGGCUCAAAACUUGAACGAAUAUGAAAGAAAAAAGUCGUUCACCGUUCAUCCUCUUCCUGCAGCUGUGCAUGCUAAUCACCCACUGAAUUAAACAUACAAAUACGCUUUAUGUUUUCUCAAAUUGUUCUUUGAACUAAGUAGAGGUUGGAAUACACUCGGGGUCAACAUUGUUCAAAUACAAAACACUUCUUAAUUUUAUAUUUUAUCAAAACAGAUCGAAACUUCAUUCAAACUGAGAACCUAGAUUACAAAACUACCAGAAAAACUGGAAUCUGCACUGUGGCCUCAUUAAAACCUUGCUUUAAAAAACUCCUAAAAGAGGAGAAUUCAGUCAAGAAAAAAGAGUACCACAGCAAGUGAAAUCCGAUAUCAUACUUCAUUCCUUUCUCAUACAAAGUUGAAUCAACUGCUCUACCACCCCAUCUAUCUCUUCAUCCUCUCUCUUUUUCAUGUUGUCUCUCAAUUCCAUUGCCUUUCUUUUCAAACCCUGUCCAUUUUCUUCCACCACCACAUCUCUGAUUACUUUUGCUAUCUCGUCCCUUUUCAGCCUCCCGUUCUCGUUGCCGCCUCCUCCCAUUCUCUUAACCUCCACACCAACUCCAACGUCCUCUACUAUUCUAGCGUUAAUAGGCUGGUCAAGAUGCAUAGGCAUGGCUACAAUUGGAACGCCAAACUUGAUGCUCUCCAACACUGAGCUCCAUCCACAGUGGCUCACAAACCCACCAGCACUAGAAUGCUUCAAUACUUUUGCCUGUGGAGCCCAACCAUCCACUAUUAUUCCCUUCUCCCCCACCCUCUCAAAAAACCCUUCUGGUAAUACCUCUUCAACCCUAGUACCUUUCUCUUCCUUAGGAAAUCUUAUAACCCAAAUAAAACUCACUUUGCUAAUCUCUAGCCCAUGAGCUAUCUCUUCUAUUUCCUCCUUGGAUAAAAAGUACUCACUGCCGAAGGAAACAUACACCACCGAAGAUCUUUCUCUAGUGUUUAGCCACUUCAUGAUUUUUGUUUCCUCCGAAUCCACUUCUUGCUCUAUAAGGUCUUGAACAAGUGAACCAACAGGCACAAUCUUCUUCCCAAUUAGAUCAGAGAGAUAAUCAAUAUAUUUUGCUUCAAUCUCUCUAGAACUCUUAACUAAUACGAUCUUACAAGAACGAUCGCUGCACUGCUUAGCACGGUCUCCAUCACUGAUGCCAUUUGAUGAAGAUUCUAACAACAUCUUGAUCUUACUAGUCUCGUAAUAGAUUGAAGGAAACGGAAAUUUGACACCAGGUUUCUCGCCAUGGUGGGUACAAACUGACAUCAUGGCAGCACUGGUUGUGAAGAACUCGAUGGCUGGAAUGUUUUGUAACAAAGCUAGAGAGGGUGCCCAUGGUUGAAGAAAAUCAUAAAUUAGCAAAUCCGGGUGUAGGGUUUUGAGGAUGUUGGAGAAGUUAGGGCUUGCCCUGUCGAAGGCGGUUUUGAGAGUGGACAUGAGGUGGGGUGGGAGGCCAUUGGUAGUGUGGUAAUGAGGUGGGAGUUCAGGCAAGUCGUCAUAUGGAAGAUGUAGUUGCACGAGUUCAAUGCAACGAGAGUAUUUUUCAGAGAGUUGUGGCUUGAUGGAUCUGAGAUUUACAGGUGUGGAACAAAAAUAGAUGUGAAAAUUUCUGUUGGUCAGCUUCUUUGCUAGCUCUAGGUAGGGAGAUAUGUGUCCAUGAGCUAACCAUGGAAACAUAAGAACACUGAAUUUUCUUUGCUGAGAAGAAUCCAUUUUUUCAGACUCUCUCCAUUCAGGUCGUUUGUUUUAUAGAUCUAAUAAGUGAGAUGAAAAGAUGACAAAAUAUAUACAGAUGAGUCAUGUGAAUCUAGGUUUUUUCUUCGUAGUCAGAAGAGUCGUGCGUAAGUGCAUGCGUGUAUACAAGACAAAAGACAUACGUUAGACUUCUUUAUCUUCGUUCGUGCUGAUAUAUAUUAAGAAACAGACCCUUGCAACUCUAAUAUCCUAGACAAAAAUUCAAUUUUAAAAACUGAUGCUAUGUCCUGUGUUUUCCUAAACAAUCCCUAUUUUCUGUAGUCUUUCAAUUAUUCUAAAUUUGCUCAACAUUCAAUAUAACAUCAAUUUCUUAUAAAUCCCUGAACUUUCUCUAGCAUUCAAAAUUUUAAAACAUUCUCAAAGUAAUUCGGCUUCAAAGGAAUGGUAAACUUAGUAAUGGCUUCUUUUCCCCUUUCACGAUGCAGUGGCUGAGAGUUCUGAGAACGGAAGUUGUAGUUGGGUGACUUUGAUUCUUUUUAGCUGAUGCCUACUGCUUGAAUGAAAUGGAGCAAAGAGGUCAUCAGUACUUACACUGCUACUAGGAGGGUAAGCUUGAUUAUGUGUAUACUAUAACUUUAGAGUUUUGGUAUUUGGAAUGAUGAUAAUUUCAAUGUUACAUUUAUUUUGUUUACUACACUAUGUUUCUUUGUUGAACUCAAAUGUCAUGCUGAUAAAAAGAAAUAUAUUGUUGUAUGAAAUUGAAUCAAUAAGGAAAUUGACUGAGAUUUAAAAAUAAAAUUACACAGACACAGCAUGCAAUAUUAAUGCAAUAUUAAAUCUGUGUUAAAUAAUGUAGGACAGAUAGAUUAGCUGAUCGAGGAGCAGCUGGAUAAGCCCGUGCAUGUCGUUGUGCCAGAAAAGCCCAAUUCGUGCAAGUAUGGGCCCUGAACUCUUAAUUAGGCUAUGAUCUGUCAUUUUGAAGAGAACGGCGUGACAAGUGCAACUCACUGCUGUAUUGUGACAUACGGACUAUUUUAGUCAAAUUCUAUCAUUUACAUUGCAUUUUCAGCAUUUAAAGUUUUUUAAAAAAUUUGGAAACUUUUGUUAUUUUCCUUUUUUGUUUUCUAAUUAGCUUUCUUAGCAAGUCUAGGGGUUCUCUUGUAUAAAAGGAAUGCAUUGGAGCAUCCUAAACUAUUCAGUUUAUUAUCAAUCAAAUACUUUUGAGUUAUACUAAAUUUCGGAUGGAUCCGGCAUGUUACUUGCAGGGUUAUCAUUCGAUCUCCUUAUUCCCUAUAUCUCGCUACGUCAGCUGUCAUGGCCAACUGGGGAAGUCGUGUAAUGGAUAUCACUUAUGGUGUGCACCAUGUGUAGUAAAUAGUUGUCCAAAACCUUUCCCGCAGCUCUAGUGCAAGGGUGUAUUGUGUGCACGUUUGAGGCGUGCAUAUAGGUUCCGUAAAUUUCAUGAGCUUUUUAUGGCUAGUUCUUUCGGGAAGUGCAUAGGGAGUGAUCAACUUCUUGGUCACUAACCUGUUUGAUAUUCUUAGUAAUGGGGUGUUAGUUGGAUUGACUUAGACUUUUAGUUUGCUCUCAAGUGGUCCCGAGUUGAAGCCCCCACGGUAUCCGUGUGUGUGAAUUUUCCCCUUCCCUUUCCUAAUUUAACAACAACAACAAAAAAUACUUAUUUGAUAUCCUGGUUUAUUUAUUUAUUCUUUUUUAAAAAAAAAUUUAAAACUUUUUUUAUUAAAAGGGGUAAUAUCAUACUAAACUCACACACACUACAUAGAUGAUAGGACUUGAAUUCACCAUAAUCGUUUUUUAGGAGCAAUUACUUAUGGUAAACAAUUACUUCAAACCACUACACUAGUAGUCAUUAGCGGCGUUUUAUAUUCUUGCACAAGCUAUGUGGUCACUAAUAUUUUGUGUAUUAAGGGCUUGUGGUGUUUCAAUGUUGAUAAAAAUGCCAAAUCAGAAUUCAAUACAAGAGUACAACCACCUAAAGGAUAGCAAUGAACAGAUACUAUUUUAUCCACACAAAAAAAAGUUUAUCUGAUAUGAGCAUUAUUCAAAAUCAUUAGAAAAUGAGUACUGAAUGCUAAAAAGACGCUAAAACGUAGAGUCAAAGCCAACAUUCACAUGAUCGGCCAUCAGAUACGCUUAGCAUUCAAAAUCAUUAAAAUUAUUAUUGAAGUCUCAACUCCUUUUCACUUAAAAGUAGAUAUUUGUUUCCCUUCUCCUACAAAUUGCAUCAAUUCCUCCACGACCCCAUCUAUCUCUCCAUCUUUGUUUUUCAUGUUGUCUCUUAAUUCCAAUGCCUUUUUUCUCAUGCCCUCUCCAAUUUUCUCCACAACCACCUUUCUGAUCACCUUCGCCAUCUCUUCUCUUUGCAAAAUUCCUUCUCCUGUUCUUUUAACCUCCACACCAACACCCACCUCCUCUACUAAUCUAGCGUUAAUUGGCUGGUCAAGAUGCAUAGGCAUGGCUAUAAUUGGAACACCAAACUUGAUGCUCUCCAACACUGAGCUCCAUCCACAGUGACUCACAAACCCACCAAC